CCUACGGGAGGCAGCAGUGAGGAAUAUUGGUCAAUGGGCGGAAGCCUGAACCAGCCAAGUAGCGUGCGGGAUGAAGGCCCUACGGGUCGUAAACCGCUUUUACACGGGGAUAACACCCUCCACUUGUGGAGGUCUGCAUGUACCGUACGAAUAAGGGCCGGCUAACUCCGUGCCAGCAGCCGCGGUAAUACGGAAGGCCCGAGCGUUAUCCGGAUUCAUUGGGCUUAAAGGGAGCGUAGGCGGGCGUUCAAGUCAGCUUGAAAAUCGCGCGGCUCAACCCCGCCACGCAGUUGAAACUGGACGCCGUGAGUUCACAACAGGGAGGCGGAAUUCGGGG
RNAcentral lists this ribosomal RNA (337 nucleotides) under uncultured bacterium. Its description in RNAcentral is "partial 16S ribosomal RNA". It matches the Rfam family "Bacterial small subunit ribosomal RNA", at positions 338 to 673 of the family's 1533-position model. The record is from RNAcentral.